CCAGUUCAGCAGUCAAGAAUAUUAGUCAAUGGCCUAACGGCUGAACUGGCAACUUGGAGAAGUGGCAAGUCUUCCAGUAUGGGGAGCAAAACAGCUAUGGGUCAAGUCCGAUAUCUUUAGGAGAAGUCUUAUUGUGAGGGCGAGUUAUAUAACACCAUAGGACUGGCCGUCCCAUAUGAAAAGAUUAUAUUAGAAUUGAAUGAAGCUUUGUUUAUAUAUUGAUAAUGACAGUAUAUAUAUCGUGUCUUGACUAAUUGCGUGCCAGCAGUCGCGGUAAUACGUAAGAGACUAGUGUUAUUCAUCUUAAUUAGGUUUAAAGGGUACCCAGACGGUCAAUAUAGCUUAUAAAAUGUUAGUACUUGACUAGAGUUUUAUGUAAGAGGGCAGUACUUGAGGAGGAGAGAUGAAAUUUCGUGAUACCAAAGGGACUCUGUAAAGGCGAAGGCAGCCCUCUAUGUAAAAACUGACGUUGAAGGACGAAGGCACAGAGAACAAACAGGAUUAGAUACCCAAGUAGUCUUUGCAGUAAAUGAUGAAUGCCAUAGGUUAGAUUGGUCAAUUAUAGUCUAGGGUUAGUCUAGCAAACUAAUACCCUAUGCUAUAAUUCCAAAUAUCUGGUCUAUAAAUGAAAGUGUAAGCAUUUCACCUCAAGAGUAAUGUGGCAACGCAGGAACUGAAAUCACUAGACCGUUUCUGACACCAGUAGUGAAGUAUGUUAUUUAAUUCGAUAAUCCGCA
Molecule: ribosomal RNA, 737 nt
Filed under: Fusarium oxysporum f. sp. niveum
Lineage: Eukaryota; Fungi; Ascomycota; Sordariomycetes; Hypocreales; Nectriaceae
Description: SSU rRNA
Rfam family: Bacterial small subunit ribosomal RNA
Source: RNAcentral